This 497-nucleotide ribosomal RNA is filed under the name uncultured bacterium. Its description in RNAcentral is "partial 16S ribosomal RNA". It matches the Rfam family "Bacterial small subunit ribosomal RNA", at positions 28 to 507 of the family's 1533-position model. The record is from RNAcentral.
GACGAACGCUGGCGGCGUGCCUAAUACAUGCAAGUAGAACGCUGAAGAGAGGAGCUUGCUCUUCUUGGAUGAGUUGCGAACGGGUGAGUAACGCGUAGGUAACCUGCCUUGUAGCGGGGGAUAACUAUUGGAAACGAUAGCUAAUACCGCAUAACAAUGGAUGACACAUGUCAUUUAUUUGAAAGGGGCAAUUGCUCCACUACAAGAUGGACCUGCGUUGUAUUAGCUAGUAGGUGAGGUAAUGGCUCACCUAGGCGACGCUACAUAGCCGACCUGAGAGGGUGAUCGGCCACACUGGGACUGAGACACGGCCCAGACUCCUACGGGAGGCAGCAGUAGGGAAUCUUCGGCAAUGGGGGCAACCCUGAACGAGCAACGCCGCGUGAGUGAAGAAGGUUUUCGGAUCGUAAAGCUCUGUUGUAAGUCAAGAAAGGGUGUGAGAGUGGAAAGUUCACACUGUGACGGUAGCUUACCAGAAAGGGACGGCUAACUACGUG